GGCGAUGACAAAGACAUAGUCAUUUUGAAAAUUGUGGUCCGUGAUCAUGAAUUGUAAUAUUCAAAAUGCAUUGCUAACAAAAUUGCAUAUGUUAGUUUAUUGGAAAGAACAUUACAAAGGGUGAAAAUCCCAUGUGUCAUGUGUAUGUUUUGUGUACAGUGUGCAUUUCAUGAUUCACAUUCAUUGACAAUUGAAUGUAAAGCGAAUGGUAAACUUCAUUUAAACAUAAAUAUGUUGUUGAAAACUUAUAUCGAACAAAUACCAUGAGGGAAAUGUGAAAAGGAUUUUGAAAAGAAAAUUAAAAGAGCUUACAAUUGCUGGAUUGAUAAGCAAACAAAACACACAUGUGUAUGUGCAAGAUUGUUGUCAUGUUGUGCAAUUCAUGCAAAUUAACAUUGCUUUGGUUUUUGUGUAAUUUUGUCAGCUUUGGAAUUGAGAAUGAUUUUUUUGAGUGUGAAUGGAUUGUUGUUUGUUAACAAAGGAAUGCACUUUCAAAAUCAUUGUUUGAUUUGUCAAUCAAGUUUGUGGCGUGUGUUGUGUGUCAAAUUUAAUUAUAUAAUUCACAAAACACAUGAAGUUUGAGCUAUUAAGGCAAUUCUUGUUUUGUUUGACCCGUCUUG
This 620-nucleotide ribosomal RNA is filed under the name Coolia monotis. RNAcentral's name for it is "LSU rRNA". It matches the Rfam family "Eukaryotic large subunit ribosomal RNA", at positions 88 to 656 of the family's 3401-position model. Lineage: Eukaryota; Dinophyceae; Peridiniales; Ostreopsidaceae. The record is from RNAcentral.